UACGUAAGGGGCAAGCGUUGUCCGGAUUUAUUGGGCGUAAAGAGCGUGUAGGCGGCCAGACAGGUCAGCUGUGAAAACUCGAGGCUCAACCUCGAGACGUCGGUUGAAACCGUCUGGCUAGAGUCCGGAAGAGGAGAGUGGAAUUCCCGGUGUAGCGGUGAAAUGCGCAGAUAUCGGGAAGAACACCCGUGGCGAAGGCGGCUCACUGGCCCGGAACUGACGCUGAGGUGCGAAAGCGUGGGGAGCAAACAGG
RNAcentral lists this ribosomal RNA (253 nucleotides) under uncultured bacterium. RNAcentral's name for it is "partial 16S ribosomal RNA". It matches the Rfam family "Bacterial small subunit ribosomal RNA", at positions 524 to 776 of the family's 1533-position model. The record is from RNAcentral.